Molecule: transfer RNA, 79 nt
Filed under: Anguilla anguilla (European eel)
Lineage: Eukaryota; Metazoa; Chordata; Actinopteri; Anguilliformes; Anguillidae
Description: tRNA-OTHER
Source: RNAcentral
GGCAGUGUAGUAUAGUGGCUAAGGAGUUAGUCUUGUGACCUAAAGGUCGCGGGUUCGAUUCCCCGGUAGGACACUGCCG